This is a long non-coding RNA of Rosa rugosa (rugosa rose), 1271 nucleotides long. RefSeq lists it as uncharacterized. The transcript is spliced from 5 exons. The record is from RefSeq and is a predicted model, not a curated record. NCBI's taxonomy places the organism in Eukaryota, Viridiplantae, Streptophyta, Magnoliopsida, Rosales, Rosaceae.
UUUCGCUUAAGACAGUUUUACUUGGAUUUGGGUUUAGGAGCAGGAUGACAAGAAGGCCCCUGACUCUGCUGCUAAAGUCAAAGGCGAAUCAGCCAAGAAGGGAUAUGUUGGAAUUCACAUCUCAGGAUUCAGAGAUAUCCUUUUAAAGCCGGAGCUUGUACGCCCGAUUGUGGACUCAAUAUUUGAGCAUCCUUUUGAAGGUAUACUAUUGAAUUCAAUCUUCCCCGGCGACGGUAUGGCCCCGAGAUUGCCGAGUCCGUCAAACAGGUCCCUUUUUUAUCCUUAUUCACUAUAUGCUCUUCAAUUUCCCUUUACGACUGGUUUAUUUUGCAUCGGAGUUGUGGAUGAUUGUAUGUUUGUGUACGCAUCUGUGUAUAGUUAGCUAUAUACACUCACUCGCACUCAAUGAAACUCUGUAAGGUAAGGGUGAUGCCCAUUACUUAUAAAGAUUAGAUACAGAAAGCCAGAACUGUUACUAUCUCUAAACUGUUGGUACUCUUUUGAAUCUUUUUAGAACUGCAUUUCUCAUUGUAGUCACUGAAGUGUUAUACUCUUGCAUGCUUAUUGAAUGUAAUGCUUGUUGCAAGAGUUGCUUCAAUUUUAAAUCAAUGUUUGACGCCAAAUUCCAAAUUUCAAACCCCUUGAAUCAUUUUUUCAGCUUUUGUUUUUGUUUUGGGUUUUUUCUCUGCUAACUUUGACUGUCAACAGUGGGAUUUUGUUUGUUUUGGGUUUAUGGGUUUUGUUGGGUUGCUUUUGUUAUGAGCAAUGGGGGACUCAGGUGGAAAAGUGAGGUUGGUUCAGUGCCCAAAGUGUGAGAAUCUUCUUCCUGAGCUAGCUGAUUACUCUAUGUAUCAGUGUGGUGCUGUUCUUAGAGUACAAGGAUUACAGAUUGUGACUGGGAUUACAGAUGGAUGGAGUACCCAGCUCAUGCAAGAACUUCGAGAAAUCCCUUGGAUCAGUCGUUGGCUACAUAUGGAGACCAUUCAGUCAUGCGCACUUUAAUUUGCUGUUAGUUUUCUCCAGCAUAUAGGUUAAGAUAUGGAAUAUUCAGGAAAAGAAAUGUACUGCAGUUCUGAUGGGGCACACUUAGUAUGAAAUCUUUGAGUUUGGCGUACCCAUGCAACUCUUUAUCUUGACUGAAAAUGUGACUAAUCUUUUAACUUGUUCAUAUGUUUCUACGCUAGCAUUUUUAGGUUUGCAGUUUUAUUUUGUGAAUUAUGUUGGAUCAUGAAUUUGGACAUAAUUAAUGGAAUGCCUCAAUUUUUAGAUGA